RNAcentral lists this ribosomal RNA (346 nucleotides) under uncultured bacterium. Its description in RNAcentral is "partial 16S ribosomal RNA". It matches the Rfam family "Bacterial small subunit ribosomal RNA", at positions 338 to 701 of the family's 1533-position model. The record is from RNAcentral.
CCUACGGGGGGCAGCAGUAGGGAAUAUUGCUCAAUGGGGGAAACCCGGAAGCAGCAACGCCGCGAGGAGGAUGAAGGUGUUCGGAUUGUAAACGCCGUUUGUUAGAGAAGAGAAUGACGGUAGCUAACGAAUAAGCACCGGCUAACUCCGUGCCAGCAGCCGCGGUAAUACGGAGGGUGCAAGCGUUACUCGGAAUCACUGGGCGUAAAGAGCGCGUAGGCGGGAUAGCAAGUCAGAUGUGAAAUCCUAUGGCUUAACCAUAGAACUGCAUUUGAAACUGUUAUUCUAGAGUAUGGGAGAGGUAGGUGUAAUUCUUGGUGUAGGGGUCACCUCCGUAGAGCUCCCG